Molecule: long non-coding RNA, 296 nt
Organism: Amblyraja radiata (thorny skate)
Lineage: Eukaryota; Metazoa; Chordata; Chondrichthyes; Rajiformes; Rajidae
Exons: 3
Source: RefSeq, a predicted model, not a curated record
CUGUAGAGAUGGGACGGAUGAUUCUCCUGUGAAGUGGGACUGGUGGUGGUACUGCAGACAUCACCUGACAUCAUGGAGACCCUGCUGACAAAAUUCCUCCAGCAGCGAGACCGCUCCCUGUACUGAGGAAUGUGAGGCUUGGAAUCCACACUGUGGACAGGCAGCUGCUUGCACGCAGAUACUGAGCACUGCACCCACAGAACUAUAGCCGCACCUCGCAAAUCAAUAUUCACCCGACUAGCUGCAACGAAGCAAGGAAGAAAGGGUUCAGGAGGUUGUGGAGGGUGUCGAGAGGG